GAUGAACGCUGGCGGCGUGCCUAAUACAUGCAAGUCGAGCGAACAGACGAGGAGCUUGCUCCUCUGACGUUAGCGGCGGACGGGUGAGUAACACGUGGAUAACCUACCUAUAAGACUGGGAUAACUUCGGGAAACCGGAGCUAAUACCGGAUAAUAUAUUGAACCGCAUGGUUCAAUAGUGAAAGACGGUUUUGCUGUCACUUAUAGAUGGAUCCGCGCCGCAUUAGCUAGUUGGUAAGGUAACGGCUUACCAAGGCGACGAUGCGUAGCCGACCUGAGAGGGUGAUCGGCCACACUGGAACUGAGACACGGUCCAGACUCCUACGGGAGGCAGCAGUAGGGAAUCUUCCGCAAUGGGCGAAUGCCUGACGGAGCAACGCCGCGUGAGUGAUGAAGGUCUUCGGAUCGUAAAACUCUGUUAUUAGGGAAGAACAAAUGUGUAAGUAACUAUGCAUGUCUUGACGGUACCUAAUCAGAAAGCCACGGCUAACUACGUG
This 497-nucleotide ribosomal RNA is filed under the name uncultured bacterium. RNAcentral describes it as "partial 16S ribosomal RNA". It matches the Rfam family "Bacterial small subunit ribosomal RNA", at positions 28 to 507 of the family's 1533-position model. The record is from RNAcentral.